Long non-coding RNA from Drosophila pseudoobscura, 530 nucleotides. RefSeq lists it as uncharacterized. The transcript is spliced from 2 exons. The record is from RefSeq and is a predicted model, not a curated record. NCBI's taxonomy places the organism in Eukaryota, Metazoa, Arthropoda, Insecta, Diptera, Drosophilidae.
CUGGCUCCUGCCUCUGGGCUGCUGCCUCCUGGCUCCUGGCACCUUGCCUGCUCCUGUGCGUCAUCGUCGAGCUUGCCAGAGAUCAGACCCGCCCGACCCGGUCGAAGAAAUGCCAGUGCCAGGAUGCGUUGUAUUUUACAUGAAUUUCCAAUGUGUGCGCCUUGUAUGAUAAAUGGCAUUAAAGGAUUUGCGUGAAUAACUCAGUUAGGACUUACACUUUUCCAUCUGCCAAAUAGUUCGCCCAACGAGUGCUAUCCACACAAAUGCCAAACAGAACACGCGUUCGGUGGGUCGAUAGGGAUAGGACCUGAACACCCCCGAGCAUGCUGCACCGUGCUGGAUAGUGGAAUAGUGGAAUGGCUAAUACAUCUGAACAGAUACAACAUAUCUCGCAUAGGAAUAUAAAUAAAUCAAUAAAGAGAUACGAUGAGAUAGGAUAUGACCAAUGGUUGACAGGGGAAUUCGGGACCUUAGACCUCUUCUUCGCACUUAAGAUUGUCGACAGUUUUUUAAAUGUAAAUUAAUUUGAG